Odontomachus brunneus is the source of this 1529-nucleotide long non-coding RNA. RefSeq lists it as uncharacterized. The transcript is spliced from 2 exons. NCBI's taxonomy places the organism in Eukaryota, Metazoa, Arthropoda, Insecta, Hymenoptera, Formicidae. The record is from RefSeq and is a predicted model, not a curated record.
UCAUGCGGCACCGGCGGCGGCGGUGGCGGCGACGACGACUAUAAGAUCGAUUUCGGGACGAGGGAGGUUAGUUCUCUCGAUCUCUAUAUCGCGACUGAUCUGCCGAUCCUGUGGAGCAAACGGCGCCUUUGUCAAAGCAUCAAACGGUGCCGACUUCUCAGGCACCGUUCUGCUGCCACUUUUGAGGAUGAACGCUGCUGUGAAAAAUUUUCGAAGAACGAGGCGGAAGGCAUGAAAGAGAGAGAAGGGAAAAGAGAGACAGGGAUCUUUCUCAAUUGUUUUUCUUGCGCAAUCUAAAUUUUUUUAUCUUAAAGACUGAAGUAAAAACGCAUUGCGUCUCAAGUUCCAGAAACACGAUAUGAUUCGGCUGAAAAGGAUAGGCCUGUGGCGCAGGAAGUGAUUGAAACGGGUUCCUUGACGGACCUCAAGCCACGAAAGGGUCUGUAGGAUAAUGAAACAGUUGCCUCCAAGGGGAGACAAAUGACGAAAUUGAUGCAGGGGACGAAGGAGAAACGGUCUCCUCUUCGUGUGCAUGUCUAAAGCUUGAUCACGUCUGGACAAAACUUGCUGACGUGGUUCUAUUGUUGUCAAAAAUUGAUAAAGGCAGAGGAGGAUCUUACAAUCGAGAGACAGAAAAGAGGACGGGAAAUGAAUGGAAAGAAAGAAAGCGCGAAACGCCGAGAUCGGGCGGAAAGUGCGGGCGAGAGAGAAGCGGGAUAAUAUCGACCGGUGCGAGGAAUUUAGUCCCGUUCAGCUGUCGUCAUGCUCGUCAUUGUAAUUCCUACGGCGCAACGUAAUCGGAAAUGAGCCACUCGGUUGCCGACGACAGAGACUAAGCAAUUUCGACGGGGCGACCCAACCCGGAAACCCGACAUGCCGGCUGUAUCUUCCCCGAUCUUCAUUUCGUUACAUCUCUUAUCGGAUUUCCUGUCUUUCUCCCGGGCAAUGGUCACACAUACUUCCCUUAUCUCAGCCGCAUAACUUUCAUACGAAUAUCUCUUCACGGAGAGAAGAGGAGAUGGAUCGGAUUGCCGAUUAUCAUGCCCCGACGAAGGGAACGAGAAGAGAGCCUGGUAUCGCGUUCUCACGGGAAUGAAGUGCCUUUCUAACCUUAAAAAGGGACGCAGGGAAGGAGCGGAAAGGGGACUUCGUUCGCCGAAGGGGACGAGGCUCGCCGGCUUCGCGCGAACAGGCCGACAGGAUCUACGGAUCGAAGUUUCCAGAUCGCGGCCUUCGUCGCGUACGUAUGCGAGACAACGACGGCCCAGUCGACGCGCGAAAGAGACGGAAAGACAGACAGGGAAGAUCGCGGAAGGCGACGAUCGCGCGCCGGCGAUCUUCGGUGACUCACCUGAAGCACGAACGACCACGGAGAAAAGCGGUUACGGGAUGCGAUCGGGGGACGAUCAGCAGUGGCGGUAGUAGACGCACCUUAGAGUCCUGCGCACGGACAAGCACACGUAGCAGCGGCAGUAGAAGCGGUCGUGGUGGUGUCGUAGUUGCCGUACGAACGCCGCGCGGGUCGGAAA